UACGUAGGGUGCAAGCGUUGUUCGGAAUUAUUGGGCGUAAAGCGCGUGUAGGCGGCGACUGCAAGUCGGGUGUGAAAUCCCUCAGCUUAACUGAGGAAGUGCGCCCGAAACUGCAGCGCUCGAGUGCCGGAGAGGGUGGCGGAAUUCCCCAAGUAGAGGUGAAAUUCGUAGAUAUGGGGAGGAACACCGGUGGCGAAGGCGGCCACCUGGACGGUGACUGACGCUGAGACGCGAAAGCGUGGGGAGCAAACAGG
RNAcentral lists this ribosomal RNA (254 nucleotides) under uncultured bacterium. RNAcentral describes it as "partial 16S ribosomal RNA". It matches the Rfam family "Bacterial small subunit ribosomal RNA", at positions 524 to 776 of the family's 1533-position model. The record is from RNAcentral.